AGGUAUUUUCAACCUCCCCGGCGUCGUAAACUGAUUAACCUUAAAUUAGGAAGAAGUGCGGGGCGAGGGUGGCGAGGCUUCCUGAGGUAUUUAUGAUCGGCGAACCUUAUUAACAUUACGCCCUCGUGGCCUGGCGCGGGCAAGUGCAACGGUACCAGAUAAUCACACUCAGCACAUUAUAUUUUCGUUUUCUGGCCAGUAAGUAUAUAAACAAAACAUCGAUACUUUUCGGUUUUAACACUAAGUUCAGAUGGAUAUCGCUAUUGAUGGGCCUAAGAUAGUUUUUGGGGCCGCCGCUGGAUAACGCGGGGAAGUUUUGUGUUGCAGGGGUUGUUUUUUUUGUUGGUAAGAGUGCUUGGUUCAGGUAUUCACGAGGGAAAGGUUGGUGCGGGAAGUGAAAGUCUUGGGAGAUCAUACGUCACUCGCCGGCCGUUACGCUACUGAUGAAGGGAAGGGAAAACUAUUACGGGGUUCGUUUUGAGCUCGGUAAUACAGCUAAAUGAUGGCUGCUGGGAGGCGGAAGGGAUUCGUUGCCCGUUAAUCCGCGAAAGGGAAAAAAUAUAUCAAAAGCUUUGUUUCCAUGGAACAGUUAUGUUACAACUGGAACUUUGGAGUGUGACGUGCUCAGCGUUUUGCAAUGAUCGGGAUCAUCGUAAACUGACCUUGUAACACACUGAAGAUCACCGAAAAGAACGAAUAUAAAACUGGCCACACCUUUCUCCAUUAGUGUAAUGGUUCACACCUUUCCUGCAAACAGUCGAUAUGUCAAGGGCACUAGGGGGGGGGGGGGGCCUGGCGCAAGAUAAACAUGGCACAGUUCAACAGAGAUGAUUAGCAGCAGCUCGCCGCGCCGCUUAAUGCAUGUCGUCUAGUGCGCCAUACUCCGCCGACCUGACGCGGCAAGGCAACACGCGCCUCCUCGGCCAGCAGCCCAGAAGAGUGCAUGGUCACCGCCGCCGCCAGGAUGCUGCCGCCGGACGCCUCGUCGACGCUCCUCCCGUGGCGCGUGAUGGUGCCCGUGAUGCAGGUGUACGGCUGCUUCCCCUACAGGAUGUCCGCCACGAGCGGACCGCCCGCCUUCUGCCUCCCGCUGUGCCUGUGGUCAGUCUUCUUGUUCCUCUUAAAGGCGGCCAUGAUGUGCGGGGGGCUGAGAACACUCUCACCGCUCUACGAGUCGCCUGAGGUGGGCCUCGUGGUGUACUCGGGCACCAUCAUGCUCAUGCUGCUCUUCACGUGUUUGACGCCCGUUGCCAUGGCUGCGAGGAGCCGCCAGUUGGCCCGGCUCCUGCAUGACCUGUCCAAGAUCACGGAAGUCUCUGCGCCGCCCACACACCGCUGGUACUGCAGGCCGCGGGCACAGUGCGUGGUGUUCUCAGCAGUCGUGUUCAUCACCUCCUCAGUAUUCUGCUCCUACGCCUUGGGCUUCACAUCUCUGGAAGUUGCAACCUUCACGCCCGUGUCCUUUCUCAACAGCAUAGCCUUCAUGUUGCCAGGAGAAGUGUCCUCCAUGGUGUUCGGCCUGCUGGGCCGUCGCCUGGUGGCCGCCACGGAGGCCACGGUGGCCUCGAUCUCCUUGCUCCUCGCCCCCGACGGAUCCUUCAAGAGUGAGAGCGGCCUGGAGGCGGCGAUGCGGGCGCUGCGUGACCUCGACGCUGUCAUCCGGGAGGUAAGAAGCGAGAGCCUUGCCUCGGCCUUGUUUGAGUCCAUUAGUCCUCCUAGCCGCCCUCCGACGGAGUGAAUCCUUCCCGCAGGUGGAGCUGCAGCGGGAGGUGGGGACUCGCUGCUUCUUCUCAGUCAUCAGCAUGGCGCUGCUGCUGGCACUCCUGAUGGCCGUCGCGUGCCCCUACGCCAUGCUGCAAGGCGUCUUCAUGAGCGGCAGCACGGCCAUCCUCUUGGGCGCCGGUUACUACAUCAUGGGCAGCUUCUGUCACCUGGGCCAGACCUUCGUCAACCAGGUGGGCACGCCUGGCAGGAGGCACUGCUUGUUGUAAACGUUCCGAUAGUUUCACGACAGCCUGCUGCAACGAUUCGUCUCACGUCACCUUGCCGGGCGAUGCCUUGCACAGACCCUGGACGCAGGCCUUGCUGCUCCUCCAGGUCCAGAUCGGUGGCCCUGGAUUCCAGGGUGCACAGCUUGCAGCUCUCGGCUCCCUCAGACUCACAAGUUUUUAUACGUAGUAAUUUAAAAAAAAAUCUGUCGCCUUCUAGUCCACUGCUGUUCUCGCAGCGACGGUCACUGUCCUUAUUGGCAAAAGGUUACUACUGUAGUUGGCAUACGUCACUAUCCGUUAGGUUCAGGUGGGUUCUCUUAGUUCACAAGAAUAUAUACAUUUUAGUUUUUGCACACAUCUCAAAACACGUGAUCGCGGGGUUCUGAUGAGUGCUGAUUUUAUUUCCACUCUCGGACUGUGGAAAAUUACCUCCUCACUGAACUGAGCGGGACAAGACGACGAAUCUUUGCCCAUCCUACGACUCUCUUGGCUUUAUUUCAGGUCAGCGAGGCCGAGGGACUCCUGAAGGACCUGAUAGUGAAAAGUCACAUUCUCAACUUUAACUUGAAGGUGAGCCAGGUGAUGGGGAGGCUGUCGCACAACCUUGCCUUCGACAUGUGUGGCUGGUACAGGCUGGACCACGCCGCCCUCCUUGGGGUAAGUGCCGCGCCCUCACGCACCCAUUCAUGUAUUCAUUAUUUCUCAAUGUGCUUCUACUCUGAACACUGUAUCAACCUGCUUGUUAUAAUGUGUUUGCUUCCAGCCUCCCGCCAUGCCUCAAACACGAGUUGUCGCCAGGGUCCUGUUAGUAUGUCAUUGCCGAAUAUAUUAAGCUUGAGACAUUUCUUCUCUGACACGGCGCCAAGAAAGACCGCCCCAAUAAUCAAUCUUCUGACAACUGCUACUCGUAUAUUCCCGCCUUGGCAAAUACUGACACAUAAACUGAUCAACAACUAUUACUUCGUCAUCUCAAGC
Eriocheir sinensis (Chinese mitten crab) is the source of this 2966-nucleotide RNA transcript. RefSeq lists it as uncharacterized. Lineage: Eukaryota; Metazoa; Arthropoda; Malacostraca; Decapoda; Varunidae. The transcript is spliced from 2 exons. The record is from RefSeq and is a predicted model, not a curated record.